RNAcentral lists this ribosomal RNA (433 nucleotides) under uncultured bacterium. RNAcentral describes it as "partial 16S ribosomal RNA". It matches the Rfam family "Bacterial small subunit ribosomal RNA", at positions 29 to 507 of the family's 1533-position model. The record is from RNAcentral.
AACGAACGCUGGCGGCAUGCCUAACACAUGCAAGUCGAACGAGACCUUCGGGUCUAGUGGCGCACGGGUGCGUAACGCGUGGGAACCUGCCCUUAGGUUCGGAAUAACUCCCCGAAAGGGGUGCUAAUACCGGAUAAUGUCUUCGGACCAAAGAUUUAUCGCCUUUGGAUGGGCCCGCGUUGGAUUAGCUAGUUGGUAGGGUAAAAGCCUACCAAGGCGACGAUCCAUAGCUGGUCUGAGAGGAUGAUCAGCCACACUGGGACUGAGACACGGCCCAGAAUCCUACGGGAGGCAGCAGUGGGGAAUAUUGGAAAAUGGGCGAAAGCCUGAUCCAGCAAUGCCGCGUGAGUGAUGAAGGCCUUAGGGUUGUAAAGCUCUUUUAACCGGGAUGAUAAUGACAGUACCGGGAGAAUAAGCUCCGGCUAACUCCGUG